Molecule: long non-coding RNA, 84 nt
Filed under: Cottoperca gobio
Lineage: Eukaryota; Metazoa; Chordata; Actinopteri; Perciformes; Bovichtidae
Description: lncRNA (ENSCGOG00000007569.1)
Source: RNAcentral
GCUGAACUGGAAUCAAGACUUUCCGUUAACAACAAAGACCGAGAUACAUCGAGUCAUUGAAAGAACUGGGUUGACCAUAUUAAC